UUCAGCCAAUAGAAGAUGCAUCAUUUAAGCAUUCACAUAUUGGACACUUAGGUUGUUUCCAUUCUUUUUUUUCACUUCAGCAUUUCCAUGAACAUUUGCGCACAUGCCUCUUCCUUUGGACUGUUUGUAAGAAGAAUUUCUAAAAUGGUUUAACAGCAAAGUUUCCCUAUGUUCCACCACCUCCAUCUCUGCCACUCCCCAGCCGAAUGCUGGCAAGCAGUCCUAGUCUACGGGAACAGAAAUGUUGAAGAUGCUGUGAAGCCACAUGGAAAUAAAUUGGUGAAGACCAGAACUUUGUGGAAGAGAAACUAGUGUAUUUACAAGGUUCUCAAGCCAGCGCACAAUGAAGUCUUUUCCUUGGGACCAUGACCCUGUGCGGACUCACCUCUGUGCAUGGAGUGUCUGUUUUUGCUGUGGUCUGACCCCGUAAGUGUACCCGCCUUGGUGCAGAGGUUUACAGACUAAGCUCCCGGCUUCCUGGGAGCCCACAGAAGUUUCUCAUCGGUGGCCGACCCUCCUGCCUGCUUUACUCAUAGCAGAUCAAUUUUUUUCAGCUUUAUGUGGGGAACAACCAUGUACGGUUCCGUUGGACUAAAUACGCUCUGCUGCUGAACGAUAACGCAAAUUGAAAAGUGCUGGCGAAGCUGAAGUCGAUCAUCGUUUUUGGAAAAAUAGCUUCCAAUGUCUGUUUUGUUAAGUGUGGUUAAACAUCACCAGCAUGAAAGCAUUGGAAAGGUAGCAUUCGUUUAACUGGUUUUUACAUCUUGUGAAUCAGUGCAAAGGAAAUAGGUCACUGCAUGUUUUCCCGGUAGCCAAGCUACAUUUUGAUACUUUAUGUGCGAGUUUGGAAGGCUGAGAAGCAUGAGGCGGGCAGUGAUUCAGAACCAAGGGGUUUAGGAGGCGCUCAGCUGCCGAGUUGCCGUGGUGACCUGAAGAAGACAACCUGCUUACCUGCUUCCUCACUUCUCACUGCUGCAAGGAUAGGCACAGACGCUGAGGCUGAACUGGGUGCCUUAAACUCUACUUUCCAUUAGCAAGAAUGAAGUGCCUUGGAAUCAACAAGGAAGAACUCGACGUCCGUGGAAUUUUAAGGUGUUCUAAUGCUGGCAAGCUGUUUCAGUUCACCUCCGUGACCUGCAGCUUACCUUCUGGCCAGGUGACGGUGAAUGGUGGCAGUUUUCCAGAGAUGGGUUCUCUGAGCUGUGAGGUGUGAGCGCUGGGCACCAAACACAGCUGAGGGAAGACAUCACCACUCUGGUUCUGGAGACAGGAGGCUGCACAGAGAAGAUGAUACUUCAGCUGACUUGGAGCAGAUGAGCAGGAGUUUGCCAGGCACAGAAAAGAGCAAAUGGCAUCCAGGCAGGCUCAUGACAUACAAAAGCAUGUGUGUGGGAAAGCGCGUGGUACUUACGGAACCUGCGGUGCUUGGGCGUGGGGAGAGCCAGCAGUGAGCUCAGGGUGGAAGGGACAUGAGGCCCGAGGAAGUGAUUUGAGAGAAGUGUCACAUGUUAAAUUUCACAUAUUUAACAUCAAGGGGUGAGGCAAAGUGGAAACGUCACCUAUGGGGGGGAAAUCUGGUCCUUGGGAUAUCUUCUACCUUUUUCUUGGGUUUGAAAGUGAACUUGAGGAAUCUCUCAUUUCCUGCCCUCCCUUUGCUCCCACAUCCUGUCCUGCCUCUGCUCAGCUGCUCUGGGUCCCUGCAAGCCUUUUCUCCCCCUUUCUUCCUCCCGGCUUUCCUCCUGGGAUGGACUCCUUGGAUAGAGCACAGACCUACACUUAUUUCUAUUUCAGUCCCUUUGUCUGCCAGAGCCCAGGGGGGAGUGCUAGGCUGCAUGGACGCUUUUCCUCCGGGGACUCCACCCCCUCUGAGGGAAAUGUGUAAAGGAGACACUUCCCCUGGGGGCGGGAUGAGUGUGGCCAGACACCACUCCCCUGCCCCUCCCCCCCCA
Molecule: long non-coding RNA, 1949 nt
Organism: Artibeus jamaicensis (Jamaican fruit-eating bat)
Lineage: Eukaryota; Metazoa; Chordata; Mammalia; Chiroptera; Phyllostomidae
Exons: 5
Source: RefSeq, a predicted model, not a curated record